This 74-nucleotide transfer RNA is filed under the name Candidatus Nomurabacteria bacterium RIFOXYB1_FULL_39_16. RNAcentral's name for it is "tRNA-Gln". It matches the Rfam family "tRNA". From Rfam's summary of the family: Transfer RNA (tRNA) molecules are approximately 80 nucleotides in length. Their secondary structure includes four short double-helical elements and three loops (D, anti-codon, and T loops). Further hydrogen bonds mediate the characteristic L-shaped molecular structure. tRNAs have two regions of fundamental functional importance: the anti-codon, which is responsible for specific mRNA codon recognition, and the 3' end, to which the tRNAs corresponding amino acid is attached (by aminoacyl-tRNA synthetases). tRNAs cope with the degeneracy of the genetic code in two manners: having more than one tRNA (with a specific anti-codon) for a particular amino acid; and 'wobble' base-pairing, i.e. permitting non-standard base-pairing at the 3rd anti-codon position. The record is from RNAcentral. RNAcentral also lists the same sequence under 1 other name. Lineage: Bacteria; Candidatus Nomuraibacteriota.
UGCGAGAUCGUCUAAUGGUAGGACUACGGUUUCUGGAACCGUGUAUCUUGGUUCGAAUCCAAGUCUCGCAGCCA